Molecule: ribosomal RNA, 279 nt
Filed under: uncultured bacterium
Lineage: Bacteria
Description: partial 16S ribosomal RNA
Rfam family: Bacterial small subunit ribosomal RNA
Source: RNAcentral
UGCCAUCCGCCGCGGUAAGACGGAGGGUCCUAGCGUUGUUCGGAAUGACUGGGCGUAAAGGGUACGUAGGCGGUUUUGUUAGUUAGAUGUGAAAUCCCAGGGCUCAACCUUGGAACUGCAUCUAAUACUGCAAGACUUGAGAUCGGAAGGGGAAAGCGGAAUUCCUAGUGUAGAGGUGAAAUUCGUAGAUAUUAGGAGGAACACCAGAGGCGAAGGCGGCUUUCUGGUCCGAUACUGACGCUGAGGUACGAAAGCGUGGGGAGCAAACAGGAUUAGAUA